AGUGUUUGUAAUAAGCUUCAAUAGCACGGCCUUGAUCAGAUGAUCUCUUAAAGCUUUUGCUGCCAUAGUAACCCUUUUGAAUACAGUAAAGAAAUGAAAAAGACGGUCUAUCGUGUCUAUGAGGUGUUGGAAAUCUUUCUCUUGGUCCAGACCUACCACGAUGCCUGAAAUACUCGUUCUCCUGAUAUCUUGGUCUGAAACCCGGUGAUAACGACCUUGGAGGAGGAUUUAGCGGAGGAAAUCUAGGAUCAAAUGGAAAAGGACCUCUUGGUCUAUGUGGAAACCUCGGAGGCCCAAAACCAGACAUUUUUUUAGCAGGAAUUUUACGUUUAUAAUCGUAACUGCGAAUUUCAUGUCCUUUCGUCCGCCAUUUUGAAAAUUGGUAACCUAGCCUUCAGAAUGGACGAGGAAUCAUGGAGACUGGGAUAUGACCACAGGUAGCCCAAGCUAGGUUUGUGUGGUGUCAUAGUAUAAGAAAAUGUAUUGCGAUGCUUAAAAACCUUAAUGAAAUCAUCAAAAUGUGAAAUAAAGUAAAAAAAAACUUAGCUGACCUUCGAAAAGCAGUACCUCUUUCGCCCAGUUACUUAGAUUUUGGAUUAGGGAGAAAACCUUAAAAGGAGCAGUAAUCCAAAAUCUAAGUACACAGGGCGAUAGAAGUACUACUCUGAAACCGUUAUGUGUUUGAAAUUUUGAUUUUUGGAACGUGACGUCCGCCAUCUUUCAGAAACAGGUGAAAACGAAUGACAUCAAGCGAUGCUGGAGUCCCGUUCCUUUAAUGAUUUUACACAGCAUAAAGAAAAAUAAAAAGCUUUGGGGAGAA
Actinia tenebrosa (Australian red waratah sea anemone) is the source of this 820-nucleotide long non-coding RNA. The record is from RefSeq and is a predicted model, not a curated record. NCBI's taxonomy places the organism in Eukaryota, Metazoa, Cnidaria, Anthozoa, Actiniaria, Actiniidae.